RNAcentral lists this ribosomal RNA (219 nucleotides) under Providencia stuartii. RNAcentral's name for it is "partial 23S ribosomal RNA". It matches the Rfam family "Bacterial large subunit ribosomal RNA", at positions 13 to 232 of the family's 2925-position model. The record is from RNAcentral. Lineage: Bacteria; Pseudomonadati; Pseudomonadota; Gammaproteobacteria; Enterobacterales; Morganellaceae.
AAGCGUACACGGUGGAUGCCUAGGCAAUCAGAGGCGAUGAAGGACGUGCUAAUCUGCGAAAAGCGUCGGUAAGGUGAUAUGAACCGUUAUAGCCGACGAUGUCCGAAUGGGGAAACCCAGUGCAAUUCGUUGCACUAUCGUUUGAUGAAUCCAUAGUCAAACGAGGCGAACCGGGGGAACUGAAACAUCUCAGUACCCCGAGGAAAAGAAAUCAACCGA